AAAGGAAAGUGAUGCAAAUUAUCUGAAAUUUUGUGUUGACCAGCAACUCCGCUUAAUAUCUGAUGCCUUU
This 70-nucleotide small nucleolar RNA is filed under the name Olea europaea subsp. europaea. RNAcentral describes it as "Small nucleolar RNA R16". It matches the Rfam family "Small nucleolar RNA R16". From Rfam's summary of the family: snoR16 is a member of the C/D class of snoRNA which contain the C (UGAUGA) and D (CUGA) box motifs. Lineage: Eukaryota; Viridiplantae; Streptophyta; Magnoliopsida; Lamiales; Oleaceae. The record is from Rfam by way of RNAcentral.